UACGUAGGGAGCAAGCGUUGUCCGGAAUCAUUGGGCGUAAAGCGCGCGUAGGUGGCUUCGUAAGUCCGUUGUGAAAGUCAAAGGCUCAACCUUUGAAAGCCGAUGGAUACUGCGGAGCUAGAGUACGGAAGAGGCGAGUGGAAUUCCUGAUGUCGCGGUGGAAUGCGCAGAUAUCAGGAGGAACACCAAUAGCGAAGGCAGCUCGCUGGGACGUUACUGACACUGAGGCGCGAAAGCGUGGGGAGCGAACAGG
This 253-nucleotide ribosomal RNA is filed under the name uncultured bacterium. Its description in RNAcentral is "partial 16S ribosomal RNA". It matches the Rfam family "Bacterial small subunit ribosomal RNA", at positions 524 to 776 of the family's 1533-position model. The record is from RNAcentral.